Molecule: long non-coding RNA, 1503 nt
Filed under: Homo sapiens (human)
Lineage: Eukaryota; Metazoa; Chordata; Mammalia; Primates; Hominidae
Description: non-protein coding lnc-SERAC1-13:1
Source: RNAcentral
ACGGACGCACUAGAGGCGACCUAAACAUGGAGACAGCGGGCGCUGCAACUGGGCAGCCGGCCUCUGGGCUGGAGGCUCCGGGGUCCACGAAUGACCGGCUUUUCCUGGUUAAAGGUGGAAUUUUCCUUGGUACCGUUGCUGCAGCGGGAAUGCUAGCUGGAUUUAUUACAACAUUAUCAUUGGCUAAAAAGAAAAGCCCUGAAUGGUUCAAUAAGAGGGAAGUAUGGCCACGGCUGCAUUACCGGAAAGCGGGUCUUCCCUUGCCUUGCGAGCUCUGGGCUGGGGCUCCCUGUAUGCAUGGUGUGGGGUUGGUGUGAUUAGCUUCGCAGUCUGGAAAGCUUUAGGAGUUCACAGUAUGAACGACUUUCGAAGUAAAAUGCAAUCAAUAUUUCCAACAAUUCCCAAGAACUCCGAAUCGGCUGUUGAGUGGGAGGAAACAUUGAAAUCCAAAUGAGAUGAGCAUGGAUGAAUUUCAAAAUGCUUGUUACAGAAAGGGGUGGCUCUGGAGACACCAUGACAGCAAAAGGACUGGGACUGAUUUCUCCCAGGAACAUGGGCAGAUUGCUGACUGAACCAGUGCACUGGAUAGCAUUCAGCCUCAUCACAGGAGAGUAUGUGUGUGCGUGCUGGGGGAGGGUAAAGUUUUCCCACAGUUAAGAAGACUAUUUAAAAAUAGUAAUUACAGGAAUAACUUCCUUAUGUGGAGGGGACCCCAUAGGAAAUGAUUCUGUUUGUAACAGUUGAAGCAAAUUUCAUACUAAAAAAGUUUAUAAUAAAAGUAUGAUAAGAAAAUAUUUAUAAAACAGACCCCCUAAUAGCAAUAGUACUGCAAUGUGUCUAAUUAAAGGAGUUUCAAGAGCCUUUCUUGUCAAUAUAUGACAGAACUUGGAAGUCUUAUUCUGAUUAGCCAGACUACAAAGUGACAGUCACCUGGUAAGUCCUGUAUGGUAGGAAGUGGGUGUGGCUCUCGGGUCCUAAAUGUGGUCUGUGCUUUACAGCCAUCACACACAUGCUAGUUAUUUACCUGAUGCCCUUGCUUGAAGGCCCUAUAAAUUCUUAUACUUAAAACAAAAAGCCAGUAAUGAGUUGUGAUCACCCCAAAAGGCACAGUUGGGCUAAAAUAAUGAUGAUAUCAGGGGUAAACAUAUUUUUUUGAGAAGUUGGUCUGGAUCUCUGAACACUGACAAUUUGUCAUUUUGUCUCAGUUGUCAAAGUAAAAAAAGCCCAGUUGUCAUCCGUCUUCAAUAUUUUUAACCAGAAAGUCACCUGAGUACGGAGUCCCAAUAUAAAGUAUUUGGGACCACCUCCCUAACAAAGCUGUUAGGGUAAAUUCUGUGUGCACGCCCAACUCCCUCCUGUCUUCCACAGUCUCCUACAAAAAAAACAGAUGGAGAAUAAUGUCUACAUGCAAUUGUUUUUACUGCAAUUGUAUUUUAAAAUAUUUUCAAGAAGAGAAAUACUUUAAUAUGUCAAUAUGUCCAGAGAAAAAACCUGUAGUUAAAU